UACAGUAUUACUUCAUUCGUAAAGAUUCUCCUUAGUAAAUUCUUUGGUUAUGUUGUGGACUUUCUUUUUCUCGUACUUUUUUAGGAUUUCUCCCCAUGUAGGGAUGGGUAGUAGAAUACGUUUCCCUACCGCAGCCAGAAGCGUGACGUAAGAGGCGUCUAACUGUGCAAACCAGUUCCUAAGUUCAGAAAAGGGACUAUUCUAGUUUAGAAGUCCUUUUCCAUUUCUCUCUUAACUUUUGUUGUAAUUUAGCUUAUCUCGCCGCAUGAUAACUCUAAAAAUUCCUAAUUUAUUCGUUCAAGUAAAAUGUAGUUAUUAAAAUUAUAAAAUUAGAUGGCCGAUCGGUUUAGUAUAAAUUUAGCAUAAGUAUAUUUCCCGGAUUUGACUUUUACCUCCCCUCAUUGGAUCCCUGAGGAAGGACUCGGACUUUACUCUCACCACUUCCUCAGCGAAGUUGGUCAUUUAAAAGGCUACACUAUUUAGUGCUAGUUCCUUUCCUUCCAUUGUGUAAGGAAAGCUGGUGGUGGUGUGCCAGUCACAAUUGGUUUAUUUGAGUUGUCUCAGUACACUCAUUACAUUUUAUUUCAUUUCCUUCCAUUGUGUAAGGAAAGCUGGUGGUGGUGUGCCAGUCACAAUUGGUUUAUUUGAGUUGUCUCAGUACACUCAUCACAUUUUAUUUCAUUUCCUUCCAUUGUGUAAGGAAAGCUGGUGGUGGUGUGCCAGUCACAAUUGGUUUAUUUGAGUUGUCUCAGUACACUCAUUACAUUUUAUUUCAUUUCCUUCCAUUGUGUAAGGAAAGCUGGUGGUGGUGUGCCAGUCACAAUUGGUUUAUUUGAGUUGUCUCAGUACACUCAUCACAUUUUAUUUCAUUUCCUUCCAUUGUGUAAGGAAAGCUGGUGGUGGUGUGCCAGUCACAAUUGGUUUAUUUGAGUUGUCUCAGUACACUCAUUACAUUUUAUUUCAUUUCCUUCCAUUGUGUAAGGAAAGCUGGUGGUGGUGUGCCAGUCACAAUUGGUUUAUUUGAGUUGUCACAGUACACUCAUUCCAUUUCCUUUCUUUUUCGAUAGUCAGUGGUGACAGUACCUAACUGCACUCUAAAUUCCCUUUUAUUUCCAAAUUAGUCAGCGGCGAUGGUGCCUAGCUGCACUACCCCCUUUGUUAGUUAAUAACAAAUUCUUCUUUAACUGUAGGUUAAUUUGGCAUGUAAAGUGAAACUAGUCAGCGGCGUGGGUGCCUAACUGUACUAAUCAUCUCCUCGUUUUGUAUUACCUUAAGUCUCUAAUUAAAUUAAAAUAGUUCAGCACGUCAGCUUAGCAUAAGACAGUGGCAGAGGUGCCUAACUGUAUUAUAAUUCCCUUAACUUAGUAUACUAUAAAUUUUGUUUCUUCAUAAAUAAUAAAAUUUAGUGGUAACCUCGUUUUCGCAUGUUAGUAAUUCCAGACAGUGGCUUUGGGGCUCAACUGUCUCUAAUUGUUAGUUAACUUAAUGCAUUGCAUCUGCACGAGUAGAGUAUAAUUGAUUGGUUAGUUUUCAUUUUACAUCCCUUAAAUUUAAGUUUGUUUAAUUUCAAUUCUCCUAAAAUCAAUGUAGAAGCGGAAUUGAACUGUUGAUAGGUGGUGCUGAGGCCCGUCGUUUCUCACUCUUUCCCUCUUGUACCGUAGAACCAUUAAUAAUAGCAAGUUUUAAAGUUAGUCACAGGAUUUUCAACUUUAGUUUUUCUAUGUCCUAUAAUUACAAUAAUUACUCUUAUAAGUUUACUCUAGUAUUCCGCCCAAAGUAUUCCUUGAUAAACUCUAAGCUCUGCAGUUCAGUUCUAGUCUAGCGGUUAUUUUUGAGUUAGCUUUUGUUUUCUUCCAUAAAAAAUAGUUCCUAUUUUUUAUUUUUCACAGAAAGGGGGUAAUGUAACGUGUCAAUAAGUCACGUCACAUACUAAACACAUAUUUAAUAAAGUUCUCCAUGAGUUAGCCUACAUUUGUUUAGAUUUAUUUCCAAAUUAGAAAAUAUUCCCAAUUCCUGUUUUAUUUACAACCAUUCGCUUGUCACUUUGACGUUUGACAGCGAACUAUUUGAGUUUCGUUGUCUUUGACAGAUUCGGUAACUUUCAUUCCAAUGCCUUUAAAAUUGUCUCAAACGUUUUCAUAUUUGAUAAAUUCUUCUUUUCGUUUAAAUUUCGCAAGUGGUAGUUUUGUUUUAGGAAAAAUAGAUCCGACAAUAUUUGAUAAUAUAUUUAAUAAUAUAUUCGUCAAAAAUUGUUCAAAAUUUAUUACAAUUUUAGCAUUUUGGUUAGCAAAAAUCAUUCUUAUUUCGGAUCUGGUAACAUUUCUUCUUAUCGAUGGUUCGAUGUGAAUUCCGUCUUGUCAUUUUACUGUCAGCUUUCUCAUUGGAAAACAGAUAAAAUUUUGAUCCGAGAAAAUCAUUGUAAAUUUCCAUUAUUUUGGUGAAAUACCGGCAGUGCUUUGUUCCGGAGGUUUGCUCCGUCCCUCAGGAAUGGAUUAGGGGCGAAAAUAAUGCCGCCACGGCAAACCCCGGCAACCUAAUGAAGGGCUAACGUAAGUUUUUCCUCAAUUUCCACAAUCGUCUUUCGGAAAAUGCGAUUCCUUUUAAAUUUUCCGGUUCGACUUUAGCUGACUCGCGCCAUUUUUCUUUUCCAGAUAAGGGGCGUGUUAGCCCUUAUAACCCUUAUAAUCCUUUUAA
Cydia amplana is the source of this 2694-nucleotide long non-coding RNA. RefSeq lists it as uncharacterized. NCBI's taxonomy places the organism in Eukaryota, Metazoa, Arthropoda, Insecta, Lepidoptera, Tortricidae. The transcript is spliced from 2 exons. The record is from RefSeq and is a predicted model, not a curated record.